GGCCUCCUGCAACUUCAACUCUUCGCUCAGAAGAUCCAUGAAUUGCUUCUCCAUCUCUUGCUUCAUAUCAGGGUCGUUGCUUCCACAAUCUGUCUCACCAUUAAUCAUAACAUUGCAUACAUAAUUAUGUUGAUAGAGGCAUAAAAUGACGAU
Hibiscus syriacus is the source of this 153-nucleotide long non-coding RNA. RefSeq lists it as uncharacterized. The transcript is spliced from 4 exons. NCBI's taxonomy places the organism in Eukaryota, Viridiplantae, Streptophyta, Magnoliopsida, Malvales, Malvaceae. The record is from RefSeq and is a predicted model, not a curated record.